RNAcentral lists this ribosomal RNA (498 nucleotides) under uncultured bacterium. Its description in RNAcentral is "bacterial SSU rRNA". It matches the Rfam family "Bacterial small subunit ribosomal RNA", at positions 899 to 1397 of the family's 1533-position model. The record is from RNAcentral.
ACUCAAAGGAAUAGACGGGGGCCCGCACAAGCAGCGGAGCAUGUGGUUUAAUUCGAAGCAACGCGAAGAACCUUACCAGGUCUUGACAUCCAUCUAAAGCCAUAGAGAUAUGGUGUCUCUUCGGAGGAGAUGAGACAGGUGGUGCAUGGUUGUCGUCAGCUCGUGUCGUGAGAUGUUGGGUUAAGUCCCGCAACGAGCGCAACCCCUACGGAUAGUUGCCAGUGCGUAAAGGCAGGCACUCUAUCGGGACUGCCGUGGAGAACACGGAGGAAGGUGGGGACGACGUCAAAUCAUCAUGCCCCUUAUGACCUGGGCUACACACGUGCUACAAUGGCUAUUACAAAGAGCAGCGAGACCGCAAGGUGGAGCGAAUCUCAAAAAGAUAGUCCCAGUUCGGAUUGUGGGCUGCAACCCGCCCACAUGAAGUUGGAGUUGCUAGUAAUCGCGAAUCAGCAUGUCGCGGUGAAUGCGUUCCCGGGCCUUGCACACACCGCCCGU